This 102-nucleotide ribosomal RNA is filed under the name uncultured bacterium. Its description in RNAcentral is "partial 16S ribosomal RNA". The record is from RNAcentral.
CUUUCGGGUCGUAAAGCUCUGUCGAGGGGAAAGAAGUGUAUUGUGGCCAAUAUCCACGAUACUUGACGGUACCCCUAAAGGAAGCACCGGCUAACUCCGUGC